Non-coding RNA from Heterocephalus glaber (naked mole-rat), 1245 nucleotides. The record is from RefSeq and is a predicted model, not a curated record. NCBI's taxonomy places the organism in Eukaryota, Metazoa, Chordata, Mammalia, Rodentia, Bathyergidae.
ACAGCAGAGAGCGAGUGGUGUGGGUCAGUGAGGAAACACACACGUCGACACAACUCAUCACCGACUGUCAGGAGCGUGGCGACUGCUCCUGCUACCAACAGAGCCGCAUUGCUGCCGCGGUAAAGGGUUCAGGUAUAAUUAUGCAAAGGAAAGAAUCCAGCAAAGAACUGCCAGAGAAGAAAUAAAAAAGAUUUUAUAUGAAAGCACCCACCUUGAUCCUGAAAGAAAACAAACCAACCAACAGCAGCAACUGAGCAACUUGAACACGGAAAACAAAACUCUUGAAGACAGAACCUCGAGGGCUGGGUGUGCUGCCAAGGGACAUCACUGCUGUGCGGAGCUGAAUAACGUCCUUCACCCAAGCUCCGCCCACCCGGCAAGGGUCCGGCAGAUGAGCCGAAACAGCCUUCGUCGCUUCCUGCCCAACAGAGACCGUGUCCCCCACACUUCUCAUAAGGAAGCUAUUAAAAAUGAUAAAUCACUAAGUAUUGUUCCCUUGGGAAAAGGAAGUCCAACUGGUUCUAUAAACAUGAUUUAUGGAAGUGCGUUUAUUUACGUGCUAUAAAAACAUCUUAAGCGUGGGAAGUUAAUUUAAAAAACAAUUUUUUUUCCUUCUCAAAUUGACAGAAAAGACUCCAUAACCUUAUUUUCCCGAAGUAAUUUUAGUGUGGAGAUAAAUUAAGAAAUCUUAUGGAAACUGAGCAAACCAUGGGAGUAAUACUUUGUGUGUACUGCUAUGCAACAGAGAACAAGGACAGAAGAAAACAAGAUAGUGCCUGACUUCAAACAGCGGGACAGACUUUCUCUUUGGUGGUGCUGGGGACUGAAGGCUGUGCCCUGGCACAGUGGGCAGCACUCCCCCUGAAGAGGGCGGCCUCAGCCACCCAGGGAUGGUCCAAUAUUUCACACUUCUAUGGGGGAACAGGGCAAUCAGCGUGACGAAACUCUUAAUCUCACCUGAACCCACAGAAACUAGAUUUUGAUAAAACAUGAAUCUUUUUCUUUUUUUUGGUACCUGGGAUCAAACUCGGGACCUUGCGCUUUUGAGGCAGGCGGUGGAACCACUGAGCUAAAUCCCCAGCCCAAUAAAACAUUAAUCUUGUGAAGACUUCAGAGAUAAUCUCUUAUUGCACGCAGGGGCACGCACACAUACACACACACACAUACACAAAUAAAACCAAACAAAAAUUUAUUUAACAUUCAAGGUUCUGAGGAAGGAAUGGGCAAGAUGAAAGAAAGAACCCU